Long non-coding RNA from Gasterosteus aculeatus aculeatus (three-spined stickleback), 30347 nucleotides. NCBI's taxonomy places the organism in Eukaryota, Metazoa, Chordata, Actinopteri, Perciformes, Gasterosteidae. The record is from Ensembl.
CUCCCCACCGAGUAGCAGCAGUCUCCGGGGUUCACAGCUCCCGUCAGCACCUGAUGCAGAUGCAUCUUCCUUUUUUUAAAUUAUAGCAGCAGAUGUUAUUCUUUUUAAUAAUUAAUAACUAGUCCACCCUUUCGGUUUCUCCAUCUAGCAACGACCGGGAGUUCCAUCAGUAAGGCUGGCGUUGUCCUCGUCCCGGCGUCUUCCUCCGCCAGCGUUCGCGUUGCGGUGAAUUGUGCGCGCGAUGCGUGUACAUGUAAUGUCUCCCGCUCCCGUCAUGUAUUUGAACGCAUUACAACUGGCCGCCCGUCGCCUCUCGCCGUCCACACCAGUCCUCCGAUUAGUCGUGAGAGCCGAGGCAGCGGGAUCUCCGCAGCGAACCUGACAUGCGCGUUCCCGACGAUGUCCAGGCACGACUGAACGGUCAUAGAAAAGCGCUGCAUAGAACCUUAGUGUCGGCUUCUCGUUCCUACUUAGUGCUCCAGUCGGGUUGUUUUUUGAGUGAAAAACGCCGGCAAUUAAGUUGUCCCGUAUGUUUUCUCUAAAUUACUUAAAAACCUACCGUAUUGCUUCACCGUGGUUCUCUCUUCCUCGCUGUACAGCUGCUCUAGCACUGUAUUUCUAUAUUCGCGGCGCACUAGUUUCGUGGAGCACCCCUCUGUCGGCUAUUGGAGUUCAUUGAUCAUAAAUGUAGCGUCUGGGGUAAAAACGUUUCUCUCAGUGAAAAUAAGUUAUUGAAUGAGGGAAAAAACUGUGAACAUAAGACAGCGUUACAGUGACGCAGAUAGCAGCCAUACUGAACAGUAACAACAGACAUAUGGAGCAGGAGUGCUUUUCUUUUGUAGGAUAGUGGACCUCUUCUCUUUCUCUUCAAGUCUAACAAUGUCAAAUGGAUAUUUUUUUUGACGCAUAGCAGUGCAUGUGCAAAACAAUAUCUGUUUACCAUUGUGAACCUGCACAUAGUUAAAAUGAAACAAUUUACUACAUUGUUAUCCCAGCUUCUGAUGUAAUGCAUUACACCGUAAUGAUGUGAUGAACAAUUUGAGGUCGUCACCGUGUUUUUUUUUAAUGCCAAAGUAGCUGGCGUCACAACCAUGACAUACAAUAUUAUGUCGUUGUUACUGUCUCUUUAAUAUCUCUAUAUUUAUGAAGGGAGGACUGACGGGGAUCCAUGGUGGUGAUACACAACCAACCAUCGUGGCCUUGUCCUGGAUAUUUAGGCCUCGCUGACAUCAUCAUGCGAGGCCUGCCUGCCAGCCACCGUGACACACAGGACAACAGAACAGAAAUUUCUGGAUGUGGUAGCCCAAAGAGGAUGUGACAUGUACGCAUAAAGAGUGUCGGAAAGAAUGAUGGGGCACACUCAUCCUGUAGCGCUUGUAUUGCUGUGGCCAUUUAGCAUUUGGUGACAUUUUUGAUCUGUGUCAGACUUUACAGCUGUUCUUGGCCUCAUGACUGAUGCUCAGUAAUAACUACUCGCUGUGCUCUUUUAGAAAGGGGAAAUGAAAUGGACGGACUGGAGAUAGCUCAAGAUGUUAAUCAAUCAAUUAAACUUUAUUUCAGACUCAGGGUCCACAUCAUGACGAGACAAUAAUAAAAAUACAUACAGAACAAAACAAAAAAAACGCACAGGGCUUUGGCCUUAUUUGGAGACAGCUGUGCCAAUGUCUCCACAUGGGACAAGUUGCGUGUACUAAAGCCUUACGUCUGUCAAAACCAAAAUCAUUUCAUUGUUAGACUCAUUAAGCCGGUAAUUACAUUUAUUCAUAUGGGUUUCAUUGAGACAGUUUGGAAAGUGUUGACUCCUGCGGUGACAAACAUUUCCCUGGCACUACUCCCUCUGGAUCUUUAAUAAUAUUCCCAUGGCAUCAUUAUGAGCUACUUUAAGCCUCUGUAAACUUGUGAGCAGUGUAGAGUGGUGCACAAUACGCUGUGAAUAGAGACAUCUUCCGAACUGAACUUGCAUGAGAGAGCAUUAGCUCGUGCAUACACCCUAUACAACAAGUAUCAGUGUCACCUCUCAUUGGUUCUGAUAAGAAACGGCCGAGAUAUUCUACUACACACACCAAUUUCUUGUUUCACUGGACAACUAGAAGCCAAGGAAUUUGUCACAUGUGUCCUCUUUGGUUCAAAAUGGCAUUUAACAUUGAGUGGUGAGCGUACCAGCAAACACAAAUUCUCUCACGGUGACUCGCAUUAUGUUACCCGUAAAUUGAAAGUCUGUGAAAUCUUGCCACAAAUCUUCCUCUCUCUGCUCCUUUGACUUUGAAUCAUUUUAAAGGCCACACUGCUGCUGUCGGGACGUGUGAACAAAAGACAGUCAGUGCAUCUUUCCCUGCUGAAGUCGUUCCCUUGCAGCACCUCUCUCUGAGAAAAUAAUCUGGCUAAAAUCUGAACAAAUAUAGAUGGCGUCCCUAUAAUUUAUGUGUGCAUGUGAUUAUUCUUUCGGCGACGGAGGGUAUCCACUUUAGAUUACUAAGAAACGGGGGAUUCAUCUCUUAAGUACUGGCGGUUUUCGUGCAGUUUUCCGAGAUCACUGCAGAGAAAACAGAGUCAACAACAGCAACAACAUCGGGUAUGUAAGGCUGCUCGAUUGCUGCAGUUUGAGGAGCCGAGUGUAUCUGGAACAUGAAGUGGGUGUGCACUGUAAGUGUGUGUCUGUGUGUGUGUGUGUGUGUGUGUGUGUGUGUGUGUGUGUGUGUGUGUGUGUGUGUGUGUGUGUGAGAGAGAGAAAGGGGCCCUGUGAGUAACAGCUACUGUACGUCUGUAUGUUGCAGAGGGGCUGGACGAAGGUUGAUGCAGGGUUUGCAGUCCCCUCCGGUGCCAUUGGGAGACACAGCCUUCAUCUACAGAGAACAGAAUUAAAUGCAUUAUAGAUUUUCUCAUUUCAUGGAUGGCUGCUUGCUGGAGGGAGCUCCGGUCUGGCCCCGGGGCGCGAGACAUUUCUGCUCCCCAGGACAAAAAGAAUGUAAUGGAGCAUCCUCACAAUCUUAAAUAAUUAAAUCAGUGCGUACUGUUGAACUUCACUGUCAUGAAGUUAUCAAUAUCGGAAGUUUGAGUCUUAUUUUCUUUUAUGCCAAAGCAGCAUGAAUUCUUCAAGGAUCUACAAUAGCUUUAACACAAUGUUAUCUGCUGCGUUCACAGUAAAUGAGGAAAAGUGAAUCUGACAUUGCAAUUGCACUUUUCAUUAAAACUCAUUGAUUAGUUUGAAUACAUUAAAUACUUUCAUAUUUUUUAAUCAAAUUUUAAGGAUAAUAGAAACACCAUUUAUAGUUUUGAAUAAAAAUAUGCACAAUAUAACGGAUCUAUAAGGAUCUAUAACGUUGAUUUGUUCUCUGAAAUGGGGAAACAGACAAUUGAAGAUGGCUUUCAGAACUGCUGCUAAAUGAACUUGACGAAAAGACAUAAAAACGUCCAAAUAUUUCAGGUGUCUCCUUGUGAAAUCAGGUGAUCUGAUCAGGUUUACUUUGUACAUUAAACUGGUCUUCAACUCUCUGGGUUUCUUAGACAAAAUGAAAGCUCGAGAGCAACUAACAUGAGUAACGUGCACAGUGCAUGUAAUUCAAUGCGCAAAGGACCUACGUACUCUACGUAUCAUGCAUUCCAAGUGUGUUCUUUUAUUUCCUCUUCAUCUCAUUUCCUCCUUGUCUCCUUUGAAAGGAGAUUAAACGGUUCAAGGCAACGGCGGAGAAGCCAUGCCGCUUCCCAAAGAAUACGACCCUUACACUCGAUUGGGCACAAAUCUCAUCCCAUCCGCUCAUGAGGAGUCAUCAAGGGCCCCGAAUGAGGCAGAAGAAGUGAGGGAUUUGGGUCGCAGGCUUAAAACAGGCCACUGAAGGGUUCUCCUGUUUAUUCAUGAACAGAUGUGUGCUACAUGUCUCCAGUCUCAGAUCCUGCUGAUGCCAUUGGAAUGCAACUCGGGAAUAAUUAGAGUAACGCGCUUUGGUCCUUCGACAUUACACGUCAUACUUAGAAACCACAGUACAUUGAUUUUGGCAUCAGUGUGAUGAUUACAAUGAUGAUAUUCUAUUUCAGGAAUAGCUUUUGCUUGAACGGUUAAAUAUCGCUACUUGUCUCAUCUUUGCUAGACUACUAAUGUGUAAUGUUUACAACACUUUUAUAACACCAACUCACAUUGCUCUAGCGCUGGGCACAUUUAAUGACCUCUUAUGUUCAAGUCCAUCAUCUCCGGCGCCUGCUCGAAAAAUAUGCUGAAAAUAAUAAAAAAAUAGUAAUCAAUGAUGGAUAGAACAUUAUUCUGUUCAAAUGUAAAGCCCAGCAGACGGGAGCAUGUAUCCCAGAGCAGAACAGUCCCAUUUCUUCAUCUAGACCCAAAGCAUCCCGCUUUCUCUUAUAUUUGGCAAAUAUUUGGCAAAAAUACAAAUGCUGCUCUUCCUCUGGUGAAUGCAGGUCCAUUACGACGUUUAAUAAAACCUGUCUGCAGUUACUUGUAGAAGGUGUUCAUGUGUAACACCUGCUUUAAUUUCUACUAUUCUUUAUUUUUUUAGGGCUCUAAUUGAAGUGGCUUUUGUGAACAACAAUUUAGAAAGAGGGCUGAUGAAUAAUGAAUGCAUGAAUUCGUGUUUCAGAAAUGUACAAAAAAGAGUCUGUAUCCUCUGCAGUGCGGCAUCUAGAGGGCGGCCGAGGCCUCCGCACGACGGGAUGCUGCUGUUUUCUUGUCUGUCGUGGAGGAAAGAUGCUCUCAAGUGGUGCUCCUCACGUCCGCUUCAGUGCUUCUUUCAGCGGCCCCCGUUUCCUUAAAGCGGCCGAGUGCACCUACGUCUCCUCCUCCCUCGGCCGUUUUGUGAUUCUGCCGUGAACGCGUUCACACCAUCUGGUUCUCACCCCGCUGUCGCUUCCUUCCCUCCUAACCAGCCCGUAUCUCUUCCUGGCACACGCAGGAGUCGGCUCAGACUCUCGGAGGUUUGCGUCUGCGAAAGAUACUGAAGAUUGAUGGCGGCUGUUCCAGAGCGCCGUCUCCUCCGUCGCCCCUUCUUCUCCAUCGCUCUCUCCCUCUGCACUCGUGUCGCUUUCCCUUCCUCCUCCAGCUCUGAGGAAGGUCGGCCUCUCUUACUGUGGUUAAACUCGUCCAUCCGUCUCUCGGGCUCACCUGUCCAGCCGGCCUUGGGCUCGCUGAUGAAUGUCUCGCCCCUGCAGUUGUUUCAGGGAUGAUUCACUGCCGCCGCUGUGAACGAUUUCCUUUCCUGUCCACAGGUUCAGAAUCCCAUUCAGGCAUGUCCCUGUGAUCUGUAAAUCUAAUCUAAUUGUGUGUGUGUGUGCAGGUGGGGGAGAGUUCGCUCACGCGCAUUUGGGUGGUGGAAUUUCCUUUGCCCCUUUGUGCUGCAAUGGGAUUACCCUUUUUUUAAUCUCCUCUUUAUUGAGCUUUAUUGUGUUUCUCUGUCUCAUUCUCGUUUGGACCACAUCCUAACCCGUUCUAUUUGGGGCUGCGGGAGUGUCUGUCUGUGCGCGCACGCGUCUAUUUUCCAAGCACCUUUGCAUGUGAGUGAUUUGCUGAGUUAUUCUAUGGAUAUUACAGUAUGUGAUAGAAGAGCAGAUGGUGGGCGUGAGCAGAUUUCUACGCUCGGCUCUGAAGUGUAAGGAGAAGAUCAAGGGCUUGGCAACAAGUACACACACACACACACACACACACACACACAGACUCCAACCAAAGCCCAUAAUCCCGGAGUUGCAACAGGUUUUUGCAUCAUUGUGACAGAAAGCGACAAUAUAAAAGACAACUUUUGUUCAUUUGGUUCAUAUAAUGCGUCGGUGUUCUAUACAUACUGUUCAUACCUCAGAUGACUUUGUCUUUACCGGUGCACAGAUAUCUGCAAGUUUGCAUGUCAAUUUAUUUCUGUGCAAAUUUAACCAUUUACAAAGGAAAGGGGAAUUUCACAAAUCAAAGGUUGCAUCAUCGGGCCUCAGCUGACACUGUGAUCGGAAUCAAUGUUCAAUGUUGAUUCGGAUCAAUGUUUUCUAAUGGAGAAUAAGGAUCAUUUUAUUGUGUACAUAUUGUAGUAGAACCCAUAUCAGAUGGUUAGGUUUCUUUUUUGACUUGCAGGUGCGACAGUGUAGAGCAGACAGGCAUCUGUAUGCUGUUGAAUGACAGACUGUGAGUGUGAGGGUCAAAGGUCAGGCGAAAGCCACUGUAGAAGAAGUUGGGUACCUGCUCAAACAGAGGAGCUGCUGCCAUUGAACUAUGCACACACGGACAACAAAAGAACGUUCUGAAAUACAAAGAAGAAGGACAUUGUGGAAACGCUGCUGUGACCGUGAUCUUUCUAAACAGUCACAGCAGUUACAGUACUUUGAAGCCAGUGACAUUUCUCACAAUAUUUCCUCCCGACCUCGUUGUAUCAAAUCAGCAAAACAGCAACAGAGAAGCAGGAAGAUAGCUAUGAAAAAAUAAAAAUACAAAAAUCUGGUUCUGUAUCUAUAAUUAAAAGAAAUGUAUAUUUAUUUUGACUUUUUGACUGAUUACACAGUGAAAAAAAAGAUUUUGAUGCAAUACAGCAUCCAUGGCAGAGGAGGGCACUGUUGACUUGUGAUACAAUCCAGACUCGGAUGGUCGGAAACCCGCUCAGUGUGGUUUUAGUUGAGGAAUAAACUACACACAGGAGGUUAUUUCCUCGUAAUGUGUGGUGCCUGACAAUACACCAUUCACGGGCCAGUAGUUGCAGUAGUAGUAGUAAAUGUGUAUUUUUCUACGCUUGUAAAAUGUAUUCUUGCUGCCAAAUGUGUUUACGAGGGAUUUUACUGCAGUGUGAGUCUGAAUGCAUCCGGUUAUGUGUAUUUGUUUUGCAUGCACAUAUGCAGAAUGCAUUUAGGUUUUACACAGGCAGACGGAUUAACCCCAGGAAUGUAGGAGCCUAUAGAGGAAGAGGAAAUUAUUACAACACAUGGUGCCAAUGCUGCUGGGCAACUUGGCCUCAUCCUCCCUUUCAGUUCACAUCCGGCUCUGUUGGCUCAACAACCUACGAGGUGAUUACCAGCAUACUAUACAUUACGGAAGGACACCAGAUAGAAAGAUCUGGAAAGCAAACCCACAGAGAUUCUUUCUAAUUGGCUUAGAAGUAAAGAAGGUUAUUAAUAUACCUCCAUGUGGCCAUAUUGUUUUUAUAGAAAAUGUGGAAGCAACUUCAAAGCUUUUGUUUUGGUCGGUGAUGACAAAGUGAUGAUAACCCUCAUGCUUCAGUAGAAGGGACUACAGCACCAAUGUAGUCUUUGCCUUUUUAAGGCCUUAGUCAUUCUUUUAUAGUCCACAUUGUGUGGCCAACAGUAUUUAACAGAAACUAAUUUAGUUAGAAAUGAUACUCAGGUUUAAAAAAGCUUCUUUUUUUUAAAUGGAGAUUAGAUUCAAGAGGAAACGACUGCAAUAAUAAAUGGCGUUUUGUGUUAAAUGGUUCUGUCUGUGCGUGGCUUUGUACUCUGCCUGGUCAUCAAUCUGAACUAUCAGGGCUGAUAAGGUGCUUCUAAAGAGAGAGGCGACUGAGAGAUCACUCUCACACUGAUAUGUGAGGGAAAGACAGUGUGUGAGGCCACUUGAAAAAGACCUUGAGUUUGACGAUGGCCAUUCUGCAGCUCUUGUAAAUUGUUAAGGAAGCUCAUAAUAGACUCCUUAUCUCAGCUGAGGAGACAAUGAAGCCUGUGAAGAGAGAGGGACAAACAAAGGGGAGAGGUCUAUGAAGUGAGGGGGGGGGGGAGGUGAAGACUAUUCAAACAAGAGCUAUUAGGCUCUGGCAUGAAGACGAGAGAAGUCGCAGGGAGAUGAGAUUCAAUCCCAGGUGCUAAAAAUGAGCGGUGAUCCCUUUCAGCGCGUUUAACCUGCAACGGUUAAUGGAAGUCAAUAAAAAUGUGGGUUUGAUAAAUGACUCUCUUUCAACAAACAUAUUCCCCAACAAGAGCAAGCCAUUUUUUUUUUACUCAUAUGUAUAAAAGCUAGUAAAUUAUAUAGAAAGAGAUUUGCUUUCAGUGUUUAUGGAUUGGAGUGUUAUUUGUAUGACACACUGCGGCAAAUAAAACUUAAUUACGCUCUAAUGAAGUAAUUAAACGCUUCAGAGACGGGGAUGAAAGGCAAACGGGCCGAACGUUUCUUACAAUCAUCAACGUUAUCGCGGCCUGUAGUUUAAAAACACGUGUGUGUCAGUCAUCCUUCCACAUCGCCUCGUUCAUUUUGAGUGACACGUGUUGAUUGGUGGGACUGACAAGAAGAGAACACCAGGCUUAUUGGGAUCAUUUCCCUCGACGGCAGGUGCUGUGUAAUGAGGGCGCCCAGCAGGCCCGGCGGUCGAGCCUCGAGCCGUUCGGCCGACCCACGUGUGUCGCAGCCGCGCGGUCCGAAGCAGUCGCUCCCUCCUCUUUGUACUAUGUGGGCCCCUUGUGACAAACCCCGUGUGACUGUUUUGAAUAGCAAAUGGGUGAUGAUAAUGCUCCAUUGUGGGAUAACGUUUUUCAUGACGAUCGCUGCGAUCAGACUGUGUCUCACCACGACCACCAGAGGGCAGUAGAGGCCAGGGAGUAACUACAAAUGACUGUGAGUGACAUUUUAGGCGUUUACUGAUAAUCAUUAGAUUUCUCUAAUACAACGACAUGCAGCGCUUUUAAAAAAACUGGAUUAUUUUUCACUUGACCCACACGGAAAUCGGAUGUAAUCUGACGGGACGGAAUUAAAUAGAAGUUUGCCAUCUCAUGAAGCUUUUUUUUUUAAAAUCUUCUCCUUAUGUCGAUUGAAGGACGCUGCCCUUGACCCUUCUCCACUGUGCCUGGUAUCACUUCUAACCUCCCAAUGGGCUGAUGUCAGAGAUCCUCCCACAUGUGUGUGUGUGUGACUCACAGACGUUAACAAGAGCAAGCGUUGCCCUCUCGGAAGCUAGCAGUCGUUUUGUUCCUGUGAUUAGACUGUGCUCUAACGUGAUACCUAACCAUAAUCACCUCGUAAUCACGGCCUCCUCCACCCCCCUUUUGUCCCCUGCACCUCUCUCCUUCCCCAUUGCGGCACCCGCUUGCCUCUUGUCUGUUAACGUAGUGCAUCCUCUCCACCUCCCGGGGCCCUGGUAUGCAAUGCCAAUGCACCUGGCCUGUGCGAAUGAGCAAUGAGUGAGAGGAAACCGCGGAGCGUGCAGUGGCUGGGGGCACACGGCAGCCAUUACGGGGCUAAAGCACCGCCAGCGUGCUUGAUGAGGGGGAACAACGGAGCCUCGCCCUGGGACACUCCAUUAAACUCCCCCUCUUUGUCUUUCUGUCUUUAGCUUUGUACGGACACACACACACACACACACACACCGAAGCACACGUGCAAUUCCGUGUGGGUCUCCGGUGUGUUGCUGCGAAUGUCUUUCAUCUCAUUUUAUUGGGUAAGCCAUCACCUGGACAAUGGUGUAAGCAGCAGCAGCAGCAGCACCUCCUUCCUCACCGCAAUAUGUUUUCACAUAAGCACCUCUCAAGAGGCGAUACUUUUUUAAGCCGCACUAAUAUGCAACAUGGGAAAAAAAAGCGUUGAGCUAUUUGAUGUGAUUGAGUAUCCAAAUCCCAACACCAAAGUGCCAAGUUUAGACUGACUUGAACGCAUAGAGACAUUUAGGGGCUUUUGCAGGGUGUGGCACUCAGCUUUACUCGCGAACCUCCAACGAAAGACAAAAUAAAAAUCAAUAAGAGCUUCUGAGAAAGGCUCGGAGGAUCACCUUUCAUAGCUGAGGAUAUUGAUCAUGAAUAAUGCUUGUUUGCAAACAGUAGAGCUGGGAUUGCUUAUUGCGGCACCCUCGCUGCAACGACAAUAUCAUUUUUCAGCGUUGAGAGUUGGAAAAGUUUUCCCUCAAUGAAUGGGAAAUGGGCCAUGAAAAUAAUAGUCUUAACUAUUCAAAACACAUUCCUUAAAACUAAAAUGACCAGGUGGGCCGAACACUGACCUCCCGACGUGUUUCGUUAUUCAACUGGAGUUAUGAGCAUGCUUAGGGGUUAAUAAAAGUCUUCUGGUCCUAUGCUACCUUUGCAGUUGAAAUAUGACAAAGCUCUUUUUAAUGAGGAUGUGCUACUGUUAUUGCUUUUUAUUGGACUCAUCUUUCAUUGUGAAACUUUUAUUGAAAAACUUUUGUAGAGGAUUUUCUCCAUCUCUUUCUCAGUCAAAUAAUUGAAUUCGACCAAAAGAGUAAUCAUAGAUUUAAAUUAAACUUUGUGGCAAAACCUAAAGAAAGACAGCGACGCGGCAUUUUUAGAACAGGUCCUUAACACAGAAUUACAGGGCGGCAGUUGGGCCAACCUGCAUUGUAAUUCAUCAUUCAUUUUUUUAUUACUAAGGUUAUACAAAAUGUUUCACAGGUGACACCUAAAGAUUCCACUGGUUUCCCUGAAUGCCUACCAAGUGCUUGAAAGUACGAAUCCCUAAAUGCACAUGGUUUUGAGAACUGGCCUUUUCAAACCUCACUGUUUGGGGUUUGCAUCUGCAGCUGGGAGGGGGAAUAGUUUGUGAAUAGCGAAAUGUGGGAUCAACAAGUGAUGUGCAUUGAGAGCCAAGCGGCUGAGACGUCAGGUCGUGAAAGUUAUGAGUGUUAUGAUGUCGUCAUUUUAUCGCCGUUCCCUGUGGCCUGAGAAUACAAACUUGAUGCGAAAAACAUCUGGAUUUCUUCUGGAUAAAGGGAGAAUACCCUGAACUCACCACAAUGGCACAAAAAGUAUGAAUUUUCCAAAUUCUGUGCGUGUACCUUCUUUGAUACAAAAUAAUAAUAAUAGAAACUGCAUGAUGUUACAGCACAGAGUUACACGGGUUCCACUGACACACAAAAAAGAUAAUGAUCUUCUUCCCUUCAGCACGGAAAGGCGUCUAAAAUGCAAAUCGCAUUGACUCAAAUUCAAAUGUGUCUCCUCAAAAAACAGAUGAGACCUGAAGGCUGAAACAAAUCCUCAUUUCAACAUUCUGGACGGCGCGCAUUUCUCUCGAGGUGACACCUUCAACGUGAUACUCAUACAUCUGUGACCCGAACAGCUUUUGGCACGCAGAGAGGACUUUUCGUGAAGAUCUGUGUGGACUCCGAAGUACAUGUCCGGAACAAAAAUAGCCGAGUGAGCAGAACGAUGUGCUUUCUUUGUGCGGUUAAUCAUCAUCUGAUGGGCGUAUUGAUUUGAUGUUGGAACAGUGCUCGGUGUGUUUGAGUGGGCCAGUGUGUGUGUGUGUGUGUGUGUAUAAGCUUACAUGCCUGUGCUUACAUUGGGGCUGUGCACUAAUUGCUUGUGAUAAGGAGAUAUACUUGUUUUCUGGGAGAGCUGCGAGAACGUAGAGGACAUCAGAGGACAUCAGUGUGUCCUCACCAGGCUUAUCCUCACGCUGUGUCUCGUUCUCUUCUCAAGUUGCGACCGUCUACAAACACAAGCCGGUUUCCCUCGUCAUAAAUAAUAAAAAGAGCGCGCUGAUUGUCGAUAAACCAGCCGUGCUAUGACCUGAAUUGUAUAAAACAUUAAAAAUAUGUAUAGCUGAACAGGCCGAAGGCUAAAUGUUCUUCCUUUGACACUCGCCGAACUUUAUGUUAAACCGUUACGCUCCAGAGAGAAUGCAUGAUGCAACAUCUGAACAUAACUCAGCAAUAUAACCACAAUUAAAAGCAGGAGCACCAUCUCAGUGUCUCGUCCCCCUGACACCCGUUCAGUGACGUUCCUUUCCUAUUCACAUCUAAAUAAUUCCCUCUCAUGAGGCCACCUCGGCGAGGACGGCCCCCAUCGGGGAGGAGCACGCUGCUUGACGCUCCGCUCAUGAAAUAUUGACUGCAGGUAAGGAGCCGCAGAGCUGUUGAUCCUGACCACGGCUUUGAGAGUGAGUGAAAGCGCCGCAUGUUAGCAUGUUAGCAUUUUAGCGAGGGUCCGCAUGUCAAGGACACGGGGGGGGGGAUUGGCAUCCUAAAGUGAAUCCGUGUUUGGCUCAUCAAACUGACCGGAAAGACACGCAGGUCGCUGGACCGGGGUGUGUGUGUGUGUGUGUGUGUGUGUGCGUGUGUGUGGGUGUGGUUGUGUUGAGAGGAGAUGGGUCAGAGCACUCAACAACCCCCCCCCCCUCCCGGCCCCACUCAGGCCUCUAACGAGGGUCUCCACCCCAGAGAUCCCUUCACACCCACGGGGAAGACUAACCAACUGCUUCCCGUAUUGCUUCUGCCAUGACUUUGAUGUAGUGUGUGUGUGUGUGUGCAUGUGUGUGUGUGUGUGUGUGUGUGUGUGAAACCUUUUUAAAGCCGUGAUUAAAACAGACAGAUUCAGCUGGUACGCUGAUGUCAGACAGGACAAACAGUUUGGAUUUGAGGAUUGCCGGGCUAAUUGGGACCCUGUAACAUGACGUGACCUGUCGCACCACCUUCUUUGUUUGGCAGCUCAUUUUAUUUCCCUAAAUGUCUACGACUAUAAACCCGAAACUAGAGGGCAGUAUGAAUAGUAGAAGAUGUAGAUUUCUUAAGAUAAGAUAGUCCUUUGUAAGUCCCACCGCGGGCAAAUUAGCAGUAUUACAGCAUCAAAGGGAAUGUGCAAAAGUGUAAUGUCAUAAAACAACAAGAAAUUAGUAAAUAAAACAGGGCAUGUAGAAAAGAUCAGUAAACAAUAAAGAGCUAAAUAUAAAAUAUAAUUGUUGACAGGCUGGUUAAGUUCACUUUGUUGCACUUAUGAAAUAGGAAAUGUUGAUUUUUCAAAGAAUAGUAACGAAACAAACCGGUUGUAACACAGAUAUUGAUAUUGCACAUGAAUAAAUGAAUAACUUGUCAGUCCUGGUGUUGGAGGUCUACUGGGAGCAGUGCUGAUGAUUACAGAGGUUUGUCGAGGAUUAAAGAGACGUGCAAAGCACGAAGGGAAUGCGAGCCUCUCUUCUGGCAACAACGAUUGAUUUGACUUUUAAACUGCUCACUACUGCCUUGUUCCCGUUGUUGUAAACAAGUAUGCUUUAACAAAAAAAAAUCAAUUGUUUGUCAUUUUAUCAAUCGCGCCAUUUCAAAUGUUUCCCCCUCAUAUAAACAACACACAACUUGUACGUUGCACAUGGAAUGUGGUUCACGCGCGUUGAGUCAAACGUGGAGGAUGUGUGGAGGAAUAAAAGUCCUCGGAGCCUGUUCCUUAUCUCGCUGCCUCUUCAGCCAGGAAUCCCCUGCAGGUCAAUGAUCUGUUGAGACUGUUUAUCUUUUCGCUGCACCGUUUAACUUUAAAGUUAAACUAUUACCUGAUUCAGUCCUCUGCCGAUGCACGAGGAUUGAUAAACUAUCCUGUACCAUCUUUCCAGUCUCCAAUGCUUUAUCAGCAUCCAGUUACUGCGGCACGGGAAACAAGAGCAAACUCACACAACCUGCAAAUAUGUUCGAAAGUGCGUGAAUACAAAGAAAAUCUAAAGCAAUCCACUCCAAAUCAAUAUAGAUAGCAAAUACCAAAAGCCAGAAAAGCAAACCAACACUGUAAAUUCACGUACAAUUGAUCAAUAACACUACUAUUCCUCUGUGACUGUCCUUGAUUUGAUUAACAUCAAAUGGAACAAUAAGACUGGAGAGGCCGUGGUCUACAGGGACUUCAGAACAUCUAAUGUGCUGCUGCUACGCACUCUGUGUAACUCACAUCCUUAAGUGGCUAAUUGCUUUUGUAGAAUACUUAAAACACACCCGGCAAUGUUUCAUAAAAUAAACACACGGCAACAGAACAAUUAUCAAUAAUGACCAAUCAGUCUUCUGCAAAGCAGUGUUCUUCGGGCAACAUCAGCAAAACGGUUGCCAAGCAACACACAGAUGAAGCAGCACACAGACGAGGUGGAAAACAUGCUUAAAGGUUGGGGGGGGUAUUAUUAACAUGCAGUCGUCAUUUGGUUUUCCAGCAGCAAUCAGUGUGUGCACACCACUUGCAAACGAGAAAAAUACAAUGUGUCACGACUAGAUGUGACAUUUGGAAACACAACAAAAGUGAUCGUAGUCGGCGCCGUGGUACAAAAUGAAUGCGGCCCCCGCUCUGUGUUCAUAAAGUUUUAUGCAUAGAGUUUAUAUUAUAAGCGACAACUGGAAAUAUUGGUGUUAUAAGAGCUGGAUUAAAGCUUUUUUCUCGUUUCAUGCCUCCAUUGUCAUCCAUUGUGAUUGAUUGAAUAUCUCCAUAGUUGAGCAGAGUUAUUUUAAAUGAGUUGAUAAACAAGUUAUUUGAUGUAUUAUUGGUUUAGCCUGCUGAAAUAAAAGAGAAACUCUGCUGUCACUGAGCUUGAGGAAAUCCCAUUUAUCAUUCUUAAAUGAAACAUGUUCAGUGAUUUCAUUUGAGUUUAAAUGAAUGCUCUUUAUUCUCUGGGAAUGUAAAACAAGUCUUUUUUAUUUUUGUGUGGGUUUGUUGGUACAACCGGGAGCCCUCCCAGCCGCCCGUGUCUCUAUUCGGCCUCUCCGUCCUCUUUGUCUUCUAUCCGACCGCAACCCCACUCGCCAGAGUGUACUCGCGCACACAACUGUGGACACACACUCGACUUACACAGAGGCUUUGGUGGCCGAAAGUGUUCCACUGUGUCUUCCUCCCCUAAUCUAAAACAUCUGGUGAUUGUAAAGACGUCCGCUGGAACCAGAGCAGAGUGGCUCGUAGAGAAUUUACAACUUUGUGCAUUAGACACGGUUAAAUACACACGAGUGUAGAAUGUGAACUGCGCCCCCCCCCGCUGGAUAAAUAAUGAUCGCAGGCUAUUCUUGGAUGGGUUAGGAAACAUUUCUGAGGCAGUUAAUGUCUAAGCUGCAGAAACAGAGUAGGUCGGGGGGUCACAGGGCGCCAAUUUCCCCCUUUAAGUCAAACGCUAGGAAUCGUGAACCAAUCGUUAACAGGAAACGCGGAGGGAGGAAUCAGAGGUGAAGCAGUUUGGAGACUGGUAAUAGAAUCAGCGCGUGUUGUCCCGACAUUUUAAUGCAGCAAUUUCCUACGGUUAUAAUUUGCUCUAGUUGUGCAGUCUAUUCAUUCACCACAGCUAUUUCUACUACGUUUGUAACCUUAUCUUAAGGCAGCAUUAAUAGACUGGAAAAUGAACACUCCAUGUGAGAUGGCAUUUGAAUUUACAGUAUGGGUGAUUUAGCACCUACCGAUUAAACGGACAAGAUUAUUUUCAUUAUUAUUAUUAAAACCAUUAGCAGUAGUGGUGCAUGUCUCAUAAUUCCAGCGUGGUAUUAAGUGUCACAGUGGAAAAUCAUAGUAAAUCAUUCCAUUCUCUGCUUAGCAUGCUUGUAGUUUGCAUUUAAAAACAUUUAUCUGUGCAAAAAAGGUUUGUUCUCAAUCAAGUGACGAGUGAACGUGUCAAAUUCACCCACUUUUUUUAGUAGAUUAAAUCAUAAACUGGGAGAUAUGACUACUUUCCCAUCUCUCCAGGUCAAGGGUCACAUCAUAGGAGUUUAUCCUAAGUGGACCGAGAUGAGCAGAGCUGCAGUUGAUUGUGAUGAAACAGCUUUCGGUUCAAUCAAAUGAUCUGCUCAGUGACAAAACACAGAAUAAAACUACGCCUGCCUUCACCUUUCUCACCUCAAUUAUUUCCCAUACCAACCUCCUGAGUGUGUCUGCUCCCAACACACACACACACACACACACACACACACACACACACACACACACACACACACACACACACACACACACACACACACACACACACACACACAUGCACAGACUCCAAUUAGUCCCUCCAACACAUUUUGUAGUGCCCCUUGACCCCUUUCCGUCCUCUCUAAUAAGAACGGCGCAACCCGGCAGAGGUAUGAAAUCUGAUGUAAUCAGAAGUCAAGAGAGCCAGUCCAGUGUGUGCGUGAGGAGUUUUACAGGGAGCAGCCGGAAUUAUUUAAUCCGCAAAACUAAAAUGAGGCUGAGAGAAUAUAGAAUGAAAUAUCUACACAGCCCCGUUUCAUUUAUCAUGACGCGGCGGAGGCACUUUGCAAAUAUGAGCUUUGCGAGAUUUUCUUCUUGUAUUCACGCUGGGCAAAACUUAAAUGAAAAUGUUCUAACGUCAAAUACCACAAUGCAUUCGCACAUCCUGCCUGAUUUAAGAAAUUUCACUUAUUUCAUCACAGCUCGACUUGGGAGUUAAAAAAGAAAAAUAGAGUCUCACUUGUUUUGGUUAGAAGUUCCUUAAAAUACGAGUGCAAGUAAUGAGACAGCCCCUUGUGUUGAAACAAUCGGGCUUUUCUGUUUAGUCAGACUGCAGAAAGAAUAAAACAUUCUCUGUUAUCUUAGACUGCAACAGCUGCAUGACUCUUCACUCUGCUGCCUGGAGAUCACCCUCGGUUCUGCUGAGACUCCGUCCCAGCUGUGUGUUGACAGGCCGAGUGCACAAACAGCUAAAAGGUGUUUUCCCUCCAGAUGCAGCGUGGAGGGAAGUUGCAAAUGACUCUCUCAUAUUUUGCUUUUGUCUCUAUAAAGCUGUCCAAGCAGACAUUGUGAGUCAUCUUUGUAAAAUCUUCAUAUACUGCAAAACCAGCAAACAAACAAUGCAUGAGAGGUUUUUCCCGCUUAGAUGCAUGCAAACCUUUUCCGUUUGCGUGUUUACAUUAUGAAACUACUCAGAGCACAGGCACAAUUGCAAGCGUGGUCAGUGCAACACAAGCAUUGCCUUCGUUUUAUAUCAUGAAUAACAAAUGUAGUGUCGUAAGCAGCAAACUUAAUUAUUCAUCAACCUGAGCGCCUCGCAAAUGAAGCUGAUGAGGCAGAGGUUUAAAUUUAGCUCACUAAUUUGCUGUGUAAAUGGGAAGUUUCCAAAUAGCCAAACCCCAUUAGGAAGCGCCAUCGUGACUCAGUGUGGGAAAAGAGAGAGACACUGAUGCAGAGGUGGAAACAUGAAUUGGUGCUAUCUUAUAAUUUUACCGGUGUUCCCGCUGCUUCAUAGAAAUGAUAUACGUGGCCUUCGAGGACAAAUUAAAAUGAUAUUUCAACAGCUUUUUCCAACAAUGAGCCCCCGUGAGGGUAGCUAUCAAACUUUGAUGGUCAUCAAGAUGGACCUUCCGGCACAGACACACUGUGAACAGCAGCGGGGAACCAUGGCAACGGCAGUAACAACACUGUCAUUAAGUGAUGCAGUAGAUGGAAACAGCAACAGUCAACAGUGUCUCGAUAUAGAGGCGCUCUGCAGGAGUAAAGCACGACAAUCUGAGCCGUGUGCUUUAUGCACUUGUAAACUAACAGGUGAUCUUUACUUAUUUUGGAAGAGUACAACUGCCCUCCGGUGUACGCAGGCGUGUGUCGACUGUGUCGUUUUUUUUACAUCCAGCCAGCUUUUUUUUGCACGAGCUAUCAACUGGGAACAUUUCUGCUGAAUCCGUCAACAUGCUGACAGUUAGAACGUUCGCCUGCGAAGCCCAAUCUCGAAUCUUGUCCCUGUCUUUUUGAGUAGCCUUCACUUUUUUGUUUGAGAUGCUGUUGUUUUUUUGGAGGAGCCCUCCGUUGACGUUUGUCUAGACUUGCCUGUUCGCCGAAAAAUGUUAUUUCAUACAAUGAAACCGCACUGUCAGUUUUAUUUCGGUUCUCCUUUGAAUUACGUUUGUGUAUCGAAAAUACACUUUGACCCAAGAGGCCAUUAUGCUUUUUAAUUUCAUAAAAAUAAAACCAUUUUUUGCUUUUGUAUUUCACUACCAAUGUCAACGAUUGGUUUGAAAAUGUGACCAUUACAUGGAAGCAAAUACGUCUUCCUUGAAAUGUUCUUGAUAUUGCAAUUCAGUUUAAUAGGAGAAUAAUAUAGUAUAUCGACAUGCUUGUUCGAGACAGACUAUUUCUGUCCAUCCCAUUUGGAUUAUUGUAUGUGCACCUUGCAGAGGGUUAGAACUCCAGAGAGGAGCAGAAAACUUCAAUAACAAUUCACUUUGAGCUCUAAUAAUGUUAAACGGAGAUGGAAACUAACUUCAUUUCUCCCCAUGCAGGCACCCUGGCCUAUAGAGGAGUUUGAUUAUAAUAGAGCAUAAUGGGAUCUGUGAAGUGCAUUGUGUCCUCUGUCUGGACAAGUUGGGCAAUUUGGUAAAUUUCAGCACAUUUACCAUAGUACAAUUUCAGAGUGAAUGUUCUCUGGCCCAGAAACACUUUUUGUCAAACAUAUUAAUCAAUAAAAAAAAUGUUCUGAGCCUCAAAUGCAUGAAAAAAAGGCAUUAUUUAUUACUUAUAACUAUUAAUAAAAAGUUAUUAUUAAAUGCCACCAACAAUCUGUGUGUUCCAAUAUGUAUGAACAUAUGGAUCCGUGUCAGUAAGCACUGCCGCCAGGCCUCCAGGUUAGGCCCGAGAAAGAUCCUUAUGCAAAUGCAUUAUGUGCCAAGAAAGCAAUAACCAUUGGUAGGAAUGGGGCGCCAUCUUGGAAGACCUCACUGAAAAUCUCCUAGAGCAAUUCAUUCUACCCUCCAUGUCAAGAGAAUGUGUUUACUGCACCCAGGAUCUCGUAUCUCAUAUGUAAAUAUGAGAAGUACUAGAUGAUUGCCAGACAGCCAACAAGUCGCCGUACCGGAAGGACUAAGCAUGUUAUUAGUGAUAUCGGAAUCAGCCGAUAAACCUCAUCCAAAGAAGGCAGGAUUAUAGAAAUGCAUUAAUGUUAGCAGCCUCACAGCAUGGAUGUAGACUUUCCUGCUUUUUCUGCAAAUUAAUUUUUGGUCAUUACUUUUUUGGUGGUCGCAAACUGACCUGUUCACCUGUUAAAAACAAACGAUCCGCGCAGAUCUCCGCCCUUGGUCUUGUUGUGGUGGUGUGUCAACAUCACGAGACUUUCACUUCUUCUGCUUAAAGAAUGCAUUUAUUAUUUUUCCUUAAAGAAAAAGUCGUAAACUAAAACUAUUUCAAGGUUCUCAACAUUCCUCCAAAGCUGACAUAUUUUCCUCACAGCAUUGGCUUUCGCGUCAUCAUGUUGCUUCAUCACAAAGCGGUAAAGACUAAUGAGAAGAGCGGGGCUCAGCUUUUCUUCUCGCUUCCCAUCGGGCUGACAUUGUGAGCACAGUGACUCAUUGCUGAUCCGCUACUCUGGCUCCGCUCUGCUCGAAAGGAAAGAAAGAAAUGCAUUUUAUGUUCCUGGUGGUGCACGCCGGCACGCUCACAUCCAUUGUGCCCACACAUGUGUGAAAUUAAAGCCAUCACAGCCUCACAUCUGACUGAGAACGCCAUUUCUCUUGGUAAAACAUUUCGGUUGCAGAAGUAUCGGCGAAGACACAUUUUCUUGCUUUGAUGGUCCGCGAGUCACGGAGGUAAUAGCAACAAGAUGCAUCUACACGCACCGUGGGUGGUGUCAUCGGGAUGCGGGCGUGCGUGUGUUUCCAUAUGUGUGUGUGUGCACGUGAACACUAGCUGGCGAACGUGUGUAUGUGUAUCCAUAUUCAUUAGAAGCAAGAGGGAGAUUCCAAUAACGAUUGUGUCAGUUGAGAUUAAAGAGAUUGACCUUUGGUGACUUCAAGUGGAGCAGAUGUGUGUGUGUGUGUGUGUGUGUGUGUGUGUGUGUGUCAUUUGUGUGUGAGACAGAACAAGACAGAGAGAGAUUCUGACAAUGAAGUAGGAGAGGAAAUAAAAGGAGGAGGUAAGGAAGUGAAAAGGGACUCAGGAACGUCACCUGCGGCAUCGACGUAUCCAAGGUAACGCUGCUUUGUUUUGUAUCAGCAGGUGAGACCCAAGCUGUUCUGUCGACAAUGGUGGAAAACGCCGCGAAUUGGCCGAACGUCCUCACAUUCAUUCCGGGCUGGAGUGACAAAUUAUAAAGCAGGGAACAUUUAAAUCAUUAGUUGAUUGGUUUUGGCCGCCUGGGGGAUUUGGACAAAGCUGUAAACAAAACACCUCAUAAAGUUGUUUUGGAGAAAAGGUUUGAAGAACAGAUUGCUCUUACGUAUUCAACACACUGGAGGCGUUAUUAGCAUUCACUGGAGUUGUGUUUCUGUCCACCUGAUUGAUCUACAUCCAAUAUUGACUUUAUUUAAAGCUCCGUUCUGACCUCAAACAACUCUUGAGGGAAAUAUGUGACUCUUUAGACGCUCCUUGGUGUUUACCAGCCUGUCGCUAACUUUGUCAGCGUGACACACAGCGGCUUUAUCAGAGCUUUUUCACUCAAUAUAGCUGCCUGCUGCAGCUGAAAAGGAAGUUGAUGAGAGAAACCAAACAAUGAGCUGAAAGAUGAUGAAACACUCCAACAAUCUUGGCUAUAGAAUUGGGUGGUAAUUGUGAUCAUUACGGCGAGCAAGACACUUUUACGUGAUUAGUUCAGCCUUAAACAGAUUCAUUGCAAUCCAUUCUCUUCAUUUCCUGUUAAUAAUUACUUUUGCUUCUUUGCUAGAAAUUCUUUCCCGUACCAUUUGUGCACAUCUGCAUUACAUUUCACUAACAUUUGUUAACUAUAUAUCCAUAUCUAUCUAACAGCUUUGGAAAUUCCCGCUGCAGCAGAAACAUUCAUUUUCAACCUCCUCCCUUCUGCUCCAUGAACACGGCAGGGCACAGUGCAAGCGGGUCUAUUCUGGGAAUAGUUAAUGCAGUUUCAGCUUAGAUCUCUCACACACACACACACACACACACACACACAAACACACACACACACACACACCGGCAAGCAAACAAAACCAAUUAGCGUGUAACUGCAGCUCAAAAUGGCUUGUAGACAGCCGACGGAAUCAUCAUUACAGAGCAAACCAAUCAGUAAAUGUUCAUUAUGCAUCAAAUGAUGAGCACUAACUAAACAAACAUUUGGAGGGCGAUCAUGUCGGCGGUACCAAACUGCUAAAAUGUCAGAUUUUCGGUUGAAUUGCCUUCAUUCAACUACCCAGGUAAAUACAGUCAGAUUGGCUCAUCUUAAAUUUGAUGUGUUCCAAUUAAAAUUUUGAAUCCUGAGUGGCAACUUAACACACACCAAAACACGCGCUAAAACACACUCCAUGUUCAGCAGUACAAGCGCACAUAUGUUCAUUAAGAUAUAUAAUUUGAAUUUUCCCAACAAGCGGUGGAAGUGAGUAGUUAAAUGGCACUUAGAAGUGCACUUUGAGCUGAAUCAAGCCUAUUUUUGCUGUAAACCGUUGCUUGCUGCAGUUAAAAAUGAGGUGAGACUUCACGUAAGUAGACUUAUUAUUCAAGGGUUUAUCACUGAGAGCAACACCUUUCAGAUCAAACAUAGUCAGUUGCAUUGAUAUUUAAAAAUAUUGAUAGGUGUAACAGUAUGUCAGGUUAAAGUUGAUAAGUGUCUACUGUGAUACGAUGUCGUACUAAGUCCUGCAUCUAUUCAGAUGAAUGAAUUACCCCAUUUAUAUUUUCCUUUGUGAACUAAUAGCCCAGGGUAAAACAUUAUUCAAAAGUUUUACGAAUAGCCUUUUUCACUUCCAGAGCAUGAAAUUCAAAGAAAUGAUUGGAGGGGAGUACGGGCACUUAUUAUUAUUUUUUUUUUUACACUCAGCUCAGAAAAACAGUUAAAUUGAUUCAAAUUCAAGGUAACAAGCGCGAGUGUACCCGAGGCGUCAGCUUUCCUGACAAGCAGCUCGCCGUGUCUCUUUGUGCCCAAUUGUCUGCUUCAAACCAAAUGGAUUGGGGUGGAGAGGAACACUGUUGGAUCAAUGUGCUGUCUAGGAGGGAAAAAAGUGGGGAAUGAAAGUGAUAAUGGUAAGAAGUGUACAAGACACACACACACACACACACAGUCCUUUUCUCAGGCCACAGUCUCACAUGCCGACUGGAAGACUCGCUGUUCUUUUCAAUCACCCACUCGGCUUGUCGUACUUUCACACAUACACACACACACGCACACACACGCGCACACACAGGAGUGGGUUCAGUCUUGAUUUGAGCUGUUCUGUCAGUCUCUCACAACGGAUUUUUUAUUCCAGCUUUAUGCUGCCAAGAAAACAACAAAAGUUUCUUCCGCGCUUCGUUUUAUUCUCUCAGACAAACAGCUGUCUGUCACCCAUGCACGCACACACACACACACACACACACACAUGGGCACGCACACACGCAUGGACACACUGAUGAAUUCCCUUGGUUGUCUUAUUGCAUCUGCCAAUCAAAUCCCUCUUUAUUCCUGUGCGUUUUGCAUCCGGGCUCCAGAGGAUUUGUGUUGUGUGGGUGGACAAAGCAGCGAUGUCGCCAUUUCUUCUUUUUCUUCUUUCUCUGUGUAACUGAUUAACCCCGACCCCUCCGAUCUAUACAUCCUAAGCUAUAAGCUAUAAUAUAUAUACAGUCAUGUCUGCCCGGUGGGAAAGGCUCGUGUACAUUUAUGGAUUUUGUCGUGCCGCUGUCACAUUGUGCCUCUCAAAGUGCAUUCGCGUUUCUGCAUUGUGACACUGGUGACAGCACAACAGGACCCUCCAAGUCAGAGCUGCUUCCAUCCCUGCAGAUCUUUACAUCAUUCAAGCUUUUCUUUUUUUCUCCAAAGUAGCAGGCCGUAAACAGUUUAAACUCACACCUUGGAUCCCUGAAUGAUCCUCUGACUGACAGUCACGCGGCUCUUCAUCUCUCUCACGGAUGCCCCUCGGCGGCUCUGCUAUCAUACGGGCGAAGGAGCGAAGCAAAGGGAGCAUCGAGCCGGGAAAGAAUACAGAAAGUCCAGUGAAAACUCCUGAGAGGAAAAAAAAGAGCAGCUUUGUUCACUGAUCCACAAAGCGGCACGCAGAAACACAGGAAUGUUGCAGGCGAAUAGAAAUGUGUGCCUCUGCGUUUUUGUUUUUAUGGUUUUGUGAGCUUCAGAGCGUCUCGGUGUAUCUACGGAACUCACCUACUCCCUCUGCUGGGAUUAUUUUCACAGAAUGCGUCCACAUGGCACUUCCAUGUGGGGAGGGGGGGGGUUGGCUUCAUUGGUUUAUUUACUCUCGGCCGGACAGGAGAGCGCGUUCGCUGAGUGGUCCGAUACUUGGGGCCCGAUCAAAGAGCCCAAGCUGUUUUUUUUUAGGAUAACUACCCGUAAAGAUGUGAGGCCAGGGGCUAUUUCUGCUGCACCGAGAGUCCCGGUAAGCUCCCUGGGGGCUGUAAUGGGAUUGAGAAGGAGGACAGAAUGGGGGGGUUAAGACAACAGAGGUUUGUGGGGAGGUAAAGAGAGUUUGAUAAAGUGUGAGUCUGUGAAUCUGUGGCGCUGCCCAGCUUAAAAAAACGCAGGUCGUCCGCUCGGACCGGCAGGUAUCGCGAGGCUCCAGCUUAAAGAGGCACGUUUCAAUCCCACUGCCAGAGCUGCACAGCUGUUUGGCUGCUAGGUCUUUGGGAGAUUGUGUACCUGUGUGUAAAAUGUGUGUAUUUCCUUCUGGCGGAACGUGCUUUUGGACACACGAGGCCGUCCGCAUACAUACGCUUUAAGGAGAUUUACGGCAUCUCUUGAAAACAAAGCCGCUGUGCAGAGCGUUGAGAGACGAUUCUGCUGGUUUCCUGCAGCUCGGCGGCGUCACGGGUAUCUGUGGCAGAAGUGUAAUCAGGGCUGUGUGUGUCCUCCGGGGCUCUAAGUGAGGGAUGUUGUCAUUCUACACAGAGCCGGGGCCGGCUAGUUUUGCCCGGAGAUGGCCUGAUCAUUUACAUUGACACUGAUGGCGCCAUUAGCCAGCUGCUAGCAACCCCGUCAGACAUGUUUUUUUUUUUACGAGGCACAGUGAGUCUCUGAACGCUUCCCUGUUUGCUCUGUGUAUCUUUCAUUGUUAGUUUAUUUAACAAUUUGAAGGUCACGAUUCAACGAGAGCAGCUCAGAUUUGCCGUGAGAAAGACGUGCCAUUAUGACAGCAGACGUGUCAUUUUCAAAAUGUCAGAAGAGAUUGGUUAUCACCGCCGCCGGAGGCCUCUGUUUACCGAUCACUGACGAACGGCAGCUUGGGUAGUUGUUUUGAUGCGCAGGCACAAAUGUGGUCUUAAUAAAACAGUCAUGGAGUCGUGCACUGCAUUCCGAUUGGUCAAUCCGGAAGUUAGUCUCGCUCUAUUUCCCUGAGCUAAAAGCCAAUGGGAUGUUUCCUUUGGAUUUUGGACCGUUGAAGGAUAUAAACUCCGUGGCGAAAAAGCGUGUGUGAUACUUCAGCGGGAUAAUCUUCACAAACGAAGAGCACUUAGAUGAUUUUUGAAGCGUGAAUGGAUUCGUCGGGAGUAAAAAGUGAUGAUGUUUAGUGUUCUCAUUCAGCUGCUCGUCGGUCAGCAAAACAGCUUUUCAGGACACAUAAAGGCUACACAAUUUCCAUGAGGGGUAUUUACAGACAUAUUAUAUUUUAGAACAUUAAGCUGAUAUCUCUUGAGCUUUAUUGGAGAACAUACCUUAUUUCAGGCGUCCAUGUAACAGCAAACGCUGACUCUGAGAUGAAGGAAAUGGAAGUGCAAGAACCAUUUUCGUAUCGCAGGACUCAUAUCUGCAGAACUCUGCAGCUUUUCUCUGACUUGUCAAGCAGAUGUGUGAGUGAAAAAAACGCUGAAGCACUCUUUGGAUUUAUCUUUAAAAAGACAUCGUUACAAACAACAGCGCAAGAACAUUAAAACCGACAACCAAAGCGUCUUUUUCCCUCUUAAAUGACGACUCUCUUUAAGGUUGUCUUCUCAGAUCUCCAAACCAUCCUACUCAUUCAAUGCAAACAUGCAGAAAUGAGCUGUAAACAACAGGAGCUCAGGGGGCGGGCGAGUCUCCUUCAGCCACCAAGUCUGGACACAAUACAGGUCUAUAACUGAGCAGCCAAAUACUUGAAAGGCAGAUCUCCUUGUGACAGAUCACAGGAUGAUAUGUGUGUCUGAGUAUGUGUUCGUUAAUGGUGGGGAGAUAAAGAUGAGAGGAGAAACCUUAAUUCGGGCACUUUCGAGGAAUCUCACUUUGAUUACCAUCUUUUGAUAUAUGUGACAAGAUACAAGACACGCCAGGAAAGUUCAGCUUCGUUUUUCUCACACGUUCCUGAUUAAAUCAGUUGUACAAAUUUAGUGAUACACCAAGACUGGCAGUGUAGUUGAGUUGCUCCACGGGUGUUUUGCAGCACCCCACUGCACCUAAAUGUUUAGGGUGGAUUGAAUCCAGAGGUCAAAUGUCAUGUUUCUACCUGAAUAGGAAGCUCUGGAGGCAAAGCAAGUGAACUGACAGAGACCUUUUUUGCCAAAUAAGGUUUAGGCAACAUGAACAUUUGCAGCAAGGCUUGGGUAUUUUAAACGUACAUUUUACUUGGGUUUAUACAAUGCAUAAAUUGUAAUAAUUAUAUAGUAAAACAUAAUAUGCGACAUGUGUGACACAAAUGUAAACCCAUUUAGCUGAUAUGUUGGGCUGUUCUCUGGCUUGGAGCGGUUACCAGGCAACCGGUGGAGAUUCUUAGAAAUAACUGGUCAAGAAGUAUUUGGCAAAUCUGGCGAAUAAAACCUAAUGCAAAAUAAACCUAAAUUUUCUAAACAUUAAACGUUAAGAUUUAUUUUUGUGCUUACAGAUGUUAUGUUUGGGUACCUGAACCUAAGCACCUUUCUCUCAGUGCAUAUGCUCAGCUGUUACGACAGUUUGAAAGUCAUUUCCAUCAGCCUUAAGUCACUUAGUUCUUUUGUCAAGUUAAUGUCAGUCACCCAGACACAGCAAACAACCGCUCUUUUAAUUGGAAACGCCACAACCUUUGUGGGAGGAUUUGUGUACGGGGGAGUUUCAUUUGAGGGAAAUGAGUCAUAGAGCGUUUCAUUAAAAAAAAGGGUAGCGUGAGGCUGACUUAGGGUGGAUUUAAAAGUAAUGGUUUGUCAAAGCUCAGCAGCGGAGCUUAAUGUGUCAUCAGUUGUCGGCUUCAAAGGGGAUUGAUAUAAGUCUGAGGUUUAUCACUGUGAGUCAAAAAUAACUGUGGAAGCACACUUUAAUAAUCACAAAUUACUUCUCUAAUUUAUUCUAGGUCACACUUAAUGCAUGAGAUGGUGGUAACUUAUUUGGAUCCGCUUUACAGCCUCAUCCUUUUAAGCAUCGGCCAAGAUCGGUGUUACAUUUAAUGCACGACUGCAUUGUGGCCGUAUGAAUUUCCAUCAGCUUGUGCGUGAGGUGAUGUUUUUAUUUUUACCGCAAACAAAUGGACAAUCAGCGUUCACGGUAUUUUUUUUUCCACAUGUAUUAUGCAUCCUGGUUGACCUCAUAUUACUACAGGUCUUACUCCCAAGGGAUUAGCACGUCUCAUUCGCAUCGGCUGUUGCAGCCUCAGUGAAUGUAAAUGCAGACGGCGUCUAACUGCGUCCAUAAGGGCACAGGGGAGACUGUCCUGCUCUCCAGCCCAUUAAAGAGGACUCCAUUAUCUGCACUCUGUACUAGUAACACACACACACACACACACACACACACACACACGACAGCAAGCAGACGAUGAGCACAUAAAGUAGUCCACCUUAAGUAGCUCCCUUCCAACGCCACGCCAUGCAUAUUUUAUAAGAGGCGGCAUUAAAAGCCAAUGGAAUAAGGAAUGGCUGGCUAGGUAGCUGGGUUAGCUCCACGCCCUACUUCCCUUCUAGUUCAGACACCUUUUGCUUUUGUUGCUGAGAACCGGACACAGGGAUCGUUGAGCGAGCGAGACGGCAUCAAAGGCGAAGACGAAGAGGACCAAUGGCCCAACAACUGCUCACCCGGGACAGGAUUGGUUGCUGAAUAAAGAUGCCUGAGUAUCUCUUUUCUCUGUGUUUUUCCUUUCCCCUCAUUUACAACCUUUCCCGCUGGAGUUUUCACACCAACAGUAAAGUGGAGGCAAGGUCAAACCUGCAGAUGUGUUUUAAUACCUGGGGGGCGGAUCAGCCCUCCAGCUGAGAGACGGCGUACCGCUGUGCAUUGAACACACUGGACAGAGACCAAGAAACUGUACGUCGCUCACAAUAGCAGCUGGGUGGCAGCUUCGGCGUUUGAUGGUUUUAGUCGGAGUUUGCAUGUAUUUGUUUUUAUCGGCAUUUGAUUUGCUGUGUACUGAGGUUUGCAACAUGUUCCUGCCCGGUAAGUCAACGACCGGCGGUGUGAGUGACACGGGCGGGUCGUUCUGUGUGACACACUUUGGGGGGGGGGUACGGCAUUCGGAGGUCAGCCACGAGUCAGUUCUGUCGUACACACUCUGAACACUCACAACUCUCUUAUUCCCUGCGCUGUUCGCCCUCAUCUCUGAGAAUAAAUAUUUAACUUUGACCCCAGCUUUGUCCUUCAGCCUGGAAGCGGUCUGCAUGUGUGUAUCUCUGAGUGUACUUGCUCAUAAAAGACUGGAAGUGUAGCUGAACUAUUUAGUUUAUUUUUGGGUUAACCCGGCAAUUGAAUGCUUGUAAAUUAACACUUUGAGAUUCCCCAACAUCUAACAUCUCAGACCUGCUCAUGAAUUUCCCAAGCCAAGUUUAUUGAAUCGGCCAAUAGUUAACUUUUAACAACCUGUGCACAUCCCAGCGACCUUGCUAUUGUGUUGAUUUAAUAAGCAGUGCAGCCUUUAUUCCAGUGAAAAGCGUGUUUGUUUCAGCGAUCAUUCUCAAGACUAAACCAGAGCAACACGGGACCUUCUGACGUUGACUUAACGCUUGUUACAUAAAAUUAAUAAGAAUGUCUGCUAAAGUGAGACUACAUCACUCGAAUCCAAACCACUAUGUUUUUUUGAAUCUUAACCAAGUACUUUUGUGGCCUGAACCUAGCCAAUUGUUUCAAAAUGUUAACCACAUGACAUUGUGUUUUCUGCAAGCUACAAGGCUGACAUCAAACAUAUAUCUGACUCGGAAAAUGACAUUCAACAAAUCUUGCGGAUUGCCUUUAAAGUGCAAUGCCAAUAAUCUUAUUCUGGCAUCUGGGUUUCAUAGAGCUGCAAAUGAAAAAGUUAGAAUGGAGAAAAGCGUAUUCCUGACCGCCGUGAAGUUUGCUUUAGGAACACAAAGAGCUUGCUUGUGUUUAGGGAAAGGCCGUGGUUUGGUUUGGAACAAUCACUUAGGGGACGGUUAGGAGACCUUUGCCGCCCCCGUUGACAAUAGAACCCACUUUGGUUACGGGUCGAGAACAAGAGGGCUUUGUCACUUGAAUUUAACGGUUUUGGGCCGAUUCCUGAAACAAGAGUUUUUUUCUUCUUGGGAGAACAGUUUCCAUUUUACUUCCUUUUAUUUCAAACACCGACAUAUGCAGCCAUUAUUCACUUCAUUACGAUCUACUUCCGUCCAAAAGCACCUUUUUCUAGCCUGGAGAGUAUUGUGGUUAUAUUGGCUGUGUCUGGUUGGCCUUCGAUGUGUGAAAACAGGAAAAAGCUUCGUUACAGUUUGUCACGGUUGCGUUGAGAUCAGGGAGGCAGUUUGGCGUCUCGGAAAACCAAACGGUCCAAUAGAGAUGUAACCUGGCAGCACGCACCUCCCGGACUCCAGGUUGGCCACCGAGGUGUGUGUGUGUAUGUACGGCUGGCAUGUUCGGUGGCCAUCUGCAAAGCAACAAGGGCUCUGGCCAAGGUGUGCACAGACACACACGCACACACAGGGAGUCACCUACAUGCAAGCAUAUGCACACACCCAUGUUGCUGCAACUUGUCAAAGUGCGGGUCUGGGCAUGUGUGAUCCAAGUGAGAAAUAAUCACUCUCGAUGCAAAGAUCAAAAUCAUCUUUCCAGGAAAAUAGGCAGCUCCCUCCUGAACAAAGGCCCCCCCAGCAAAAACAUGCUCUCCGUCUCUCAAGAUCCCUCGCGCACACACAGACACACACACACACCCUACACACACACAAAUAUACGCUGCAAUAUUAAGGAAUGUGAGUAAUAUCCCUGCAGGCAAAUCAGUAAUAUUGGCCAGCGCAGAUCUAAGAUGUUGUAUUAUUCAAAUCCUCUGACUCCUGCAAUCAGCUAGAAGAAAUAUAUAAAACAUGAAAUAUAAAUGUCUGGGAUUUCAACGCGAACGGUUUGGUGUUGCCAAGGGGACAUGAAAGUUCAUUACAGACGUUUAAGUGAUUUGGCAGCGAUCAAGACGGCGAUGCUUCAUUGCCAAUGUUAUUGUUUGAAAAGUCUAGAUUAGCACCUUAAUGCCGCAGGUCUAUUGAUAGUGAUUAUGAGCUUAGCUGAACAAAGACAUUGGUGAUCGUACACAUUUAGGUGAUGAAAACGAUGCCAGAACAGGCCGGUCAAUCAAAGCCGCGAUCGCGCAGCUCUUUCAUGUUAAUCCCUUGGUGCGGCGCCGCUGAAGAUACUUGGAAUCAUUACUUAACACCAACAAGACAAAGAUCCCUGCCCCGUCCGUCCUCUCGGCCUCCGUUUGUUUGCACAAAUGCAAAGUGAGGCAGUUAUAGAUCAUAUUCGUUGAAUACGCUGAAGCUGAUUAGUGAGGAAGAAUUAAAGGCCCCCAAAGCUGCUUUUCCUAAAUCCGAGAUUAGUCAAAUAAUAAGACGCGUGUCUUCCUGCUCGCACACUCACACAUGGACAAAACGCUGGCUUUGGCUCCGUCCUGACAACCGAGCUGGUAUCUCCACUCCCUCAGAACCGUCCCUUGGCCCCGGUAGUGACAGCCCUGACUGGGAGAAGUCGCAGCGAGCCAGUAAGGCUUAUUGGCAGACCAGUGUUUCCAGUGUGAGACGUGCCGGGGAAUCUAGCUAGCGUGUCGCGCAGUGCAGAGUUGAGGAUUAACCUACUAGCACAAUUGCAGAAGUUCCAAGCUUUUUUCUUUUUCUCUCAGAAGCUGCUGGAUUUAUUUAUUUGUCUACUACGGUUCACUUAUUCAAAUAUGACUGGAAACAUGCACACAAACAGACACACUAUUAACCUCAGGGCAAACUGUUAUAUUGUGAAAAGCAGAAGAAUUUACCAUGGUUACAUUUGAAGUUAGUGAUGUAACUCCAUUUUCUCCCGAAUAAGCCUAAAAAUACAUCAUUGAGAUGAGAAGUAAAAAUGUAGAAAAAAGCUACGUGCAUAUUCCAGCAGUCAUAUUUUUAGGAAUUUUAAUCUAGUCUACCAUGCCUGAAAUAAAAAAAGUUAAAAAGAGACAAAAAAAGAUCUAGAUGAUGAGAACACAGAUAUAAAGCCAAUGCACAUGCAAAGGGAAGCAAAGCAGAGCAAAUAGAAAAUACAAUUAUCCGUGUCUGUUUGACCCGGGGGAAUUCACAGUAUAAUGCCGGUGGAUCCAAUUCACUUGCAAAAGAGUUGAGCAGGAUGUAAAGCUCGAUUCACAGCCAACUCAGACCAUGAAAAAAACCAACCGUUCACACAGACAAAGAGCUGCUGCAUCUCCACUCCAUGUGAGAACGACUGCUUGGAAUCUGCAUGAGGGGCAGAGGCACCCUGGGUAAAAACAAACACUAUAUGUACGUUGGCCUUGAUUGUCCUUUCAAACAAACACUGUGAAAGAGGACGGGGACGGCAUACGGUUUUGAGGACCGGCUACUCACCCGACAUAAGAGGGAGAUCAGGGGGCGCAACCAUUAACAUAUUCUUUUCAAAAAAGAGUCUACUCACUGGACCGUGCAUGGAGCCCUUUUUCAAAAAGAGCCCGUCUCAUACUGCUGUGAAAUGAGGUGAAAAUAAGCAGACUUAAAAGAGACGGCUUGGGAGG